GAUGAAGAACGCAGCGAAAUGCGAUAAGUAAUGUGAAUUGCAGAAUUCAGUGAAUCAUCGAAUCUUUGAACGCACAUUGCGCCCGCCAGUAUUCUGGCGGGCAUGCCUGUUCGAGCGUCAUUUCAACCCUCAGGGCCCUUUUGGACCUGGCGUUGGGGCUCGGCCGCUACCCUGCGGCCGUCCCCGAAAGAUAGUGGCGGUCUCGCUGUAGCCUCCUCUGCGUAGUAGUUACAUCUCGCACUGGAACGCGGCGCGGCCAUGCCGUUAAACACCCCACUUCUCAAGGUUGACCUCGGAUCAGGUAGGAAUACCCGCUGAACUUAAGCAUAUCAAAAGCGGAGGA
Molecule: unclassified non-coding RNA, 343 nt
Filed under: soil metagenome
Description: partial contains 5.8S ribosomal RNA, internal transcribed spacer 2, and large subunit ribosomal RNA
Rfam family: 5.8S ribosomal RNA (bases 1-120)
Source: RNAcentral